Molecule: transfer RNA, 77 nt
Filed under: Clostridia bacterium
Lineage: Bacteria; Bacillati; Bacillota; Clostridia
Description: tRNA-His
Rfam family: tRNA
About the family: Transfer RNA (tRNA) molecules are approximately 80 nucleotides in length.
Source: RNAcentral
GUGGGUGUAGCUCAGUUGGUCAGAGUGCCAGGUUGUGGCCCUGGAGGUCGAGGGUUCGAGCCCCUUCACCCACCCCA